RNAcentral lists this long non-coding RNA (1112 nucleotides) under Bos indicus x Bos taurus (hybrid cattle). RNAcentral describes it as "lncRNA (ENSBIXG00005001440.1)". Lineage: Eukaryota; Metazoa; Chordata; Mammalia; Artiodactyla; Bovidae. The record is from RNAcentral.
GUCAGGGAGACGUCAGCCCCUAGGAGGAGGGCACCCCCCACAGCGAGGCUCUGACCCACCCUCGCCCCUCAGGGCCCAGCACGACUCUCCCGGAGAGACCACAGCGGGCAGCGCUGGGCAGAUCAGUCCACACCCAGCAGAGCAGAACCCUUGAGAGGGGGCUGGAGACGUCCUUCCUGGGGCUGGCCCAGAAAGACGGGCCUUGUGGGCGGGGUGGAGGGUUGUAAGCCCCGCCCUCCCCGCCUUCCUCCUGGGGGCGGAGCCGGCCUCGGGCGGGGGGGGCGGGGGGGGGCGGGGGGGGGGGGGCGGGGGGGGCGGGGGGGGGCGGGGGGGGGCGGGGGGGGCGGGGGGGGGCGGGGGGGGGCGGGGGGGGGCGGGGGGGGCAGGGGCUACCCGGGUGGAGCCCCCGGCAGCGUGGCGGUGGGGCGUGGCCAAGGCGGGUGCUGUUUCCUGCUGCCCCCGCUCUGACGACACCUGCCCCAGCUGACCGCCCCCUCAGAUGGCCCAGCUUGGCACGCACGGGGAGGGAACACCCCCUCACCCCCCGACCCUCACCCAUCGACUGCUUGGCAGUGUCACCACGUGGCCUCACCCUGGAGCAAGGCCCAGCUGCUACCGAGAGAGGGAAAGGAGGGUCCCGCGCAGGAGGCAGGGAGAGGUCCCAGAGAGGUGCAGGGCUGGUAAGAACGCUGGAGGAAGAGGGGGGCCCUCCGUCUCUCCUCCCAGCAGAAGCUGGGUGUCCCUGGGGCCUCACGCAGAGUGACCAUAGCCGGGCACCCCAGGAGGCACCCCCGCUGGGGAGGUUAGGCCCGAGAUGGCCCCAGCUGAGGACCCGAGGACUCCAGAGGGGAUGGAGGGGGACGGCCAGAGCUCACCAGGCCCCUCUGCCCUGCAUGGCCCGCAGCCCUCUUGCCUCUCAAGCCAGGGGGCCCAGGGUCUUCAGAGAACACCCAGGAUGGGCUGGCCUGCGCCUCCUCGGGCCUCGGUCUCCCCAUCGCUCGCUCUCUCUCUCUCUGACCCAGCUGGGAUCUGCCCACAGGGGCUCACCAUGUGCCCCUGGAGUUGGAAGUACUGGGUUCUAAGGACCGCAGGCAGAGACUGCCAGACCCCAG